GUUUAAAGUAUUAACUUGACACUAGUUUCAAAGUUCAGGGUAUGGAAUUUUUCCAUACUUUUUGAGCCAGUGAGCAUCAAUUUGCCCAAUCCUCACUUCUCUCUCUCGCUCGCCCGCUCUCGCAUUUUCUCAAAUGAGUUGCGGGCUUGGAUUGCGGGCAUGGGGUCUAAGGCUGGUUUCCACCGCGGAGCGACCUCUUCCCAGAUGUCCUACACUUUCGUUUUCUCGCCGUCGUACAUUAGCUACCUGCUGCACUUUAGACUUGAAGCAGAAGAGGAAGAAGGAGAAGGUUCUCGUAAUCUCGGGCCCAACUGGCGCUGGAAAAAGCAGGCUCGCCUUGGAGCUUGCAAAACGCCUCAACGGAGAAAUCAUUAGCGCAGAUUCCGUGCAGGUGUACCGCGGACUUGAUAUUGGAUCGGCAAAGCCUUCCUUGAGUGAUAGAAAGGAAGUUCCACACCAUUUGGUUGACAUAUUGCAUCCAUCUGAAGAGUAUUCAGUUGGACAAUUCUUUGAGGAUGCAAGGCAAGCUACAAGAGAAAUUCUUGAAAAUGGUCGUGUACCAAUAGUUGUUGGUGGAACUGGAUUAUAUUUACGAUGGUAUAUUUACGGAAAGCCAGAAGUCCCAAAAGCAUCUCCCGAGAUUGCUUCUGAAGUAUACUCAGAACUCAUGAAUUUACAGAGGGAUGGGGACUGGGAUGCAGCUGUGCGGUUGGUUGUGGAUGCAGGUGACCCUAAGGCUCAAUAUUUGGCUUCCAAUGACUGGUAUCGGCUUAGACGCAGCCUUGAGAUUAUCAAGUCUAGCGGUUCACCUCCAUCUGCUUUCCAAGUACCAUAUGAUUCUUUCAAGGAACAGAUAAACUCAAAAAUGUCAGAUCAUGAUGAUUCCUUUUCUGCUGAUACACUUGGAGAAAAUCUUUCAGAGGAUCUGGACUAUGACUUCAUUUGCUUUUUCCUUUCAAGCCCAAGGCUGGAUCUGUAUAGACUGAUUGAUUUGCGCUGUGAGGAUAUGCUUAUGGGAAGAGAUGGAAUCCUGGCUGAGGCCACAUGGCUUCUUGAUACAGGUCUUCUUCCAAAUUCAAAUUCUGCAACUCGAGCAAUUGGCUAUAGACAAGCUAUGGAGUACCUAGUAAAGUGCAGGCAGCAACAGGGCCACAGCUCUGCUCAAGAUUUCUAUGCCUUUCUGUCAGAAUUUCAGAAAUCAUCUAGAAACUUUGCAAAGAGGCAAAUAACAUGGUUCCGUAAUGAGCUUAUUUAUCACUGGCUUGAUGCUUCACGCCCACUGGAGAAAAUUCUCAACUUUAUAUUUGAUGCAUACCAUGACCAAACAGGAAAUGUAGUGGUGCCUGAAUCACUUAAUUUUAAGAAAGAUAUAUCCAGUCACAGGGAAAUUUCUGAAUUGAAGGCUUACCGCACUAAAAAUAGGCACUUCGUUAGGAGAGAAGAUUGUUAUGUUAUUUUGGAUUGGAUAAGAAGAACACAAACAAUGGAAGUUGUUCAUUAAGUUGAUUGUGCUUGGUUUUUGACCCCGAGGCAUGAGACACAGUUGGGGUAGGGAGCUUAACCUACUUAAAAUCAAUUCGAAUGUGAGCUUGUGAGGUAUUAUUGGUUUCUUCAGUACAGGUGAAGCUCACUGGCUUAUCAUUUAGUGGGUUUCAAGUGAGAAGAUGAAAGCCUUCUUUUGCAGUGGCUGAUGAAGGUUCUAUUUCUGAGGCAAAAUCUAUAGUGCAUUCGAUGAAAAUUGCUGGAACGUGCCUCAAACAUCAACAAACCAGUGAUAAAGCAACCCGUCAUAGUGAGAUCUUUAAUAUUGUUAAAGUUUUUUGGUGGUAACUGGUAAGCACACCCUUUGGAACGCGAAUGUACACAUGAACCAAUGAAAUAUAUCAUGUGAUGUCUUUAACAUAAAUGGUUGAAAUUUUUAUAUAACAUGCAACAAACAUUUGAAAUGUACAAUAUUUAGGACUUUUCAAUUA
RNA transcript from Nelumbo nucifera (sacred lotus), 1973 nucleotides. It is a transcript of the gene named isopentenyltransferase 9, with no coding region annotated. The record is from RefSeq and is a predicted model, not a curated record. NCBI's taxonomy places the organism in Eukaryota, Viridiplantae, Streptophyta, Magnoliopsida, Proteales, Nelumbonaceae.